UUUGCCAAUGAUGAUUUUUUCACAGCGCUUUGAUGCUAAUGAAACCAAAACAUGCACUACCAUCUGAGGCAAA
RNAcentral lists this small nucleolar RNA (73 nucleotides) under Gigantopelta aegis. The record is from RNAcentral. Lineage: Eukaryota; Metazoa; Mollusca; Gastropoda; Neomphalida; Peltospiridae.